This 124-nucleotide microRNA precursor is filed under the name Hordeum vulgare. RNAcentral describes it as "microRNA MIR1122". It matches the Rfam family "MIR1120/MIR1122 microRNA precursor family". Lineage: Eukaryota; Viridiplantae; Streptophyta; Magnoliopsida; Poales; Poaceae. The record is from RNAcentral.
GAAGUACUCCCUCCGUCCGAAAAUACUUGUUCUAAAAAUAAAUAAAAUGGAUGUAUCUAUAACUAAAAUAAAUCUAGAUGCAUGCAUUUUUAGGACAAGUAUUUUUGGACGGAGGGAGUACCUU